AUGGUAGGCCCGCGUCGAUGCUUCCACUCGCCCGAGUUCAAGCUCACCUGCGACCGUGGAAGCGAGCUCCCGCGGCUGCUCCUCGGCAACGACAGCGGCGGCGGUGCAUUGGAGGUCGUCAGCAUCUCGCCAGAGAACAACACGAUGCGCGUCAUCAGCCACGGUGUGCAUGCCAUGAACAUGAGCGGCUCCGGCGGCCAGUGGAGCUGGAGUCUCGGUGCCGGCUUGCCAUACACACUCUUGGGGUGGGGCAUAAACGAGUUCAUCCUCUUGGGGUGCAAUCUGCAGGCGAAGCUGCUGAGCAAUGGGAGCGGCGGCAGUAUCAUCAGCGGCUGCGCCUCCUUCUGCUCCACGGAAACGAUGGAGUGGUACGAGGCUUAUGACAAGCGCUGCUCCAACAACGGCUGCUGCCUGUCGUCCAUCCCCAUGGGAGACGCAUUCUACGGAGUGGAGCUUAGACGGCUUGACAGGGGCCUUCCAGAGAAGGGCAUGCAAGCCGAAGUGCCCGUGAGCGUGCUCAUCGCUGAGACGGGCUGGUUUCACAGGGAUUUGUCCACAGAUCUGACAGACCCAACGCGUGGCCAGUGGCAGAAGACCAUUCUGCGGGUCCCCUUGAUUCUCAGUUGGGUGGUGCCGCAGGGCACGUCCCAUGAUAUGAAAUACCCCGGUGAGGCAGCCUGGAGAAUCUGCAAGAGCACCAACAGCGAACCCAGAGCCGCCGCAUAUUUUCCAGUAAGAGGCAAUUCGUGCGAGUGCAAGGAGGGGUACCAGGGCAACCCUUAUAUCACCGGCGGAUGCCAAGAUAUCAAAGAGUGUGAUCAGAAAGAAGAACAUGGAUGUUUCGGAGACUGCGAGGAACUACCGGGGACGUUCCAGUGCCGUUGCCCCGAAGGGUACCAGGGCAACCCUUACCUCACUGGCGGAUGCCAAGAUAUCAAGGAGUGUGAUCAGAAAGAAGAACAUGGAUGUUUCGGAGACUGCGAGGAACUACCCGGGACGUUCCGGUGCCGUUGCCCCGAAGGGUUCCAUGGCAACUACUCCAUAUCCGGCGGCUGCUUUAAGUCUGUAAACACAGGUCGCUCGGGUUUAAUCAUUGGUCUUUCCGUUGCUAGUGGCCCAUGCAUUCUACUUUUGAUUCUUGGCGCACUUCUCAUAAUCCGUGAUAUUGAGCAACACAAGGGAAAGAUGAUGAGACAGAAGUUCUUUAAUCAAAAUCGUGGACAAUUGUUGAAGCAGUUAGUGUCUCAUAGGGCAGACAUUGCGGAGAGGAUGAUAAUCCCCUUGGAGGAGCUACAAAAGGCCACCAACAAUUUCGAUCAAGUUCGUAGGCUCGGUGGAGGAGGGCAUGGCACUGUUUACAAGGGGAUUUUGUCAGACUUGCAUGUCGUGGCCAUCAAGAAGUCAAAUAUCGUGGUCAAGAGAGAAAUCGAUGAGUUUAUAAAUGAGGUUGCCAUACUAUCGCAAAUCAACCAUAGGAACAUUGUAAAGCUCCAUGGAUGUUGCCUCGAGACAGAAGUCCCUUUACUAGCCUAUGAGUUUAUCUGCAAUGGAACCCUUAGUGACCAUCUUCACACGGGAGCACUAGGAUCACUAUCUUGGGAUGAUAGGUUAAGGAUCGCAAGUGAAAUAGGCAAAGCUCUUGGUUACCUUCAUUCUUCCGUAACAGUGCCUGUUAUACACAUGGAUAUCAAGCCUUCCAACAUACUUCUUGACGAUGCCUUGAUAGCAAAAAUUUCAGAUUUUGGAGCUUCGAGGUACAUUCCCAUGGAUAAAACAGGGUUAACAACAAUAACCGCAGUGCAAGGAACUAUAGGGUACUUAGACCCUAUGUACUACUACACGGGACGCCUAACGGAAUGUAGUGAUGUCUAUAGCUUUGGAGUCCUUCUCGUUGAGUUGCUUACUAGGAAGAAUCCAUCUUCCUAUAGAUCAUCUGAAGGUGAUGGGCUUGUCAUGCAGUUUGUUGAACUACUUGCCGAAGGCAAUCUGGCCGAGAUACUAGAUCCACAAGUUUUAGAGGAGGCAGGUACUGAAGUGGAAGAAGUAGCUAUCUUGCUGUGUCAUGCAUGA
This 2070-nucleotide ribosomal RNA is filed under the name Triticum aestivum (bread wheat). RNAcentral describes it as "partial small subunit ribosomal RNA". The record is from RNAcentral. Lineage: Eukaryota; Viridiplantae; Streptophyta; Magnoliopsida; Poales; Poaceae.